AUUGAACGCUGGCGGCAGGCCUAACACAUUCAAGUCGAACGAGUGGCGGACGGGUGAGUAAUGUCUGGGAAACUGCACGAUGGAGGGGGAUAACUACUGGAAACGGUAGCUAAUACCGCAUACCAUCGGAUGUGCCCAGAUGGGAUUAGCUAGUCGGUGGGGUAACGGCGCACCUAGGCGACGAUCCCUAGCUGGGCUGAGAGGAUGACCAGCGAGACUGGACCUGAGACACGGUCCAGACUCCGACGGGAGGCAGCAGUGGGGAAGAUUGAACAAUGGGCGCAAUGCUGAUGCAGCCAUGCCGCGUUUAUGAAGAAGGCCUUCGGUUUUGAAAGUAGUUUCAGCGAGGAGGCGUUACUCGCAGAAGAAGCACCGGCUAACUCCGUGCCAGCAGCCGCGGUAAUUC
RNAcentral lists this ribosomal RNA (406 nucleotides) under uncultured bacterium. RNAcentral describes it as "partial 16S ribosomal RNA". It matches the Rfam family "Bacterial small subunit ribosomal RNA", at positions 30 to 526 of the family's 1533-position model. The record is from RNAcentral.